Molecule: ribosomal RNA, 156 nt
Filed under: Triticum aestivum (bread wheat)
Lineage: Eukaryota; Viridiplantae; Streptophyta; Magnoliopsida; Poales; Poaceae
Description: rRNA 5_8S_rRNA
Rfam family: 5.8S ribosomal RNA
About the family: 5.8S ribosomal RNA (5.8S rRNA) is a component of the large subunit of the eukaryotic ribosome. It is transcribed by RNA polymerase I as part of the 45S precursor that also contains 18S and 28S rRNA. Functionally, it is thought that 5.8S rRNA may be involved in ribosome translocation.
Source: RNAcentral
GACUCUCGGCAACGGAUAUCUCGGCUCUCGCAUCGAUGAAGAACGUAGCGAAAUGCGAUACCUGGUGUGAAUUGCAGAAUCCCGCGAACCAUCGAGUCUUUGAACGCAAGUUGCACCCGAGGCCACUCGGCCGAGGGCACGCCUGCCUGGGCGUCA